UUGAACGCUGGCGGAAUGCUUUACACAUGCAAGUCGAGCGGCAGCGCGGGGCAACCUGGCGGCGAGCGGCGAACGGGUGAGUAAUAUAUCGGAACGUGCCCAGUCGUGGGGGAUAACGCAGCGAAAGCUGUGCUAAUACCGCAUACGAUCUCUGGAUGAAAGCGGGGGACCUGCAAGGGCCUCGCGCGAUUGGAGCGGCCGAUAUCAGAUUAGCUAGUUGGUGGGGUAAAAGCUCACCAAGGCGACGAUCUGUAGCUGGUCUGAGAGGACGACCAGCCACACUGGAACUGAGACACGGUCCAGACUCCUACGGGAGGCAGCAGUGGGGAAUUUUGGACAAUGGGCGCAAGCCUGAUCCAGCAAUGCCGCGUGCAGGAUGAAGGCCUUCGGGUUGUAAACUGCUUUUGUACGGAACGAAACGGUUCUCUUUAAUAAAGAGGGCUAAUGACGGUACCGUAAGAAUAAGCACCGGCUAACUACGU
Molecule: ribosomal RNA, 482 nt
Filed under: uncultured bacterium
Lineage: Bacteria
Description: bacterial SSU rRNA
Rfam family: Bacterial small subunit ribosomal RNA
Source: RNAcentral